This 1010-nucleotide ribosomal RNA is filed under the name Paraburkholderia caribensis. Its description in RNAcentral is "bacterial SSU rRNA". It matches the Rfam family "Bacterial small subunit ribosomal RNA", at positions 36 to 1043 of the family's 1533-position model. Lineage: Bacteria; Pseudomonadati; Pseudomonadota; Betaproteobacteria; Burkholderiales; Burkholderiaceae. The record is from RNAcentral.
CUGGCGGCAUGCUUACACAUGCAAGUCGGACGGCAGCGCGGGGGCAACCUGGCGGCGAGUGGCGAACGGGUGAGUAAUACAUCGGAACGUGUCUGGAGUGGGGGAUAGCCCGGCGAAAGCCGGAUNAAUACCGCAUACGCUCUGUGGAGGAAAGCGGGGGAUCUUCGGACCUCGCGCUCAAGGGGCGGCCGAUGGCAGAUUAGCUAGUUGGUGGGGUAAAGGCCUACCAAGGCGACGAUCUGUAGCUGGUCUGAGAGGACGACCAGCCACACUGGGACUGAGACACGGCCCAGACUCCUACGGGAGGCAGCAGUGGGGAAUUUUGGACAAUGGGGGCAACCCUGAUCCAGCAAUGCCGCGUGUGUGAAGAAGGCCUUCGGGUUGUAAAGCACUUUUGUCCGGAAAGAAAACCGCUUCUCUAAUACAGAGGCGGGAUGACGGUACCGGAAGAAUAAGCACCGGCUAACUACGUGCCAGCAGCCGCGGUAAUACGUAGGGUGCAAGCGUUAAUCGGAAUUACUGGGCGUAAAGCGUGCGCAGGCGGUUCGCUAAGACCGAUGUGAAAUCCCCGGGCUUAACCUGGGAACUGCAUUGGUGACUGGCGGGCUAGAGUAUGGCAGAGGGGGGUAGAAUUCCACGUGUAGCAGUGAAAUGCGUAGAGAUGUGGAGGAAUACCGAUGGCGAAGGCAGCCCCCUGGGCCAAUACUGACGCUCAUGCACGAAAGCGUGGGGAGCAAACAGGAUUAGAUACCCUGGUAGUCCACGCCCUAAACGAUGUCAACUAGUUGUCGGGUCUUCAUUGACUUGGUAACGAAGCUAACGCGUGAAGUUGACCGCCUGGGGAGUACGGUCGCAAGAUUAAAACUCAAAGGAAUUGACGGGGACCCGCACAAGCGGUGGAUGAUGUGGAUUAAUUCGAUGCAACGCGAAAAACCUUACCUACCCUUGACAUGUACGGAACCUUGCUGAGAGGUGAGGGUGCCCGAAAGGGAGCCGUAACACAGGUGCUG